This is a long non-coding RNA of Culex pipiens pallens (northern house mosquito), 2185 nucleotides long. RefSeq lists it as uncharacterized. The record is from RefSeq and is a predicted model, not a curated record. The transcript is spliced from 3 exons. NCBI's taxonomy places the organism in Eukaryota, Metazoa, Arthropoda, Insecta, Diptera, Culicidae.
CUGCCCAAUCAAACCGUUCUCCGCUUGACGGGUUCAUUCCGCUUCGAAUUCCGCUUCGAAAAUUGCUUCGAAAUUUUCUAAACGGUUUGUCUGGUUGGGUUCCGCUUCGAUUCCGUUUGAGCAAUUUUUGCACAAGGGCGACACCUGCUGGUGUAUGGUGGAACCUCGAUGACAUUUCGCCACGUUUCGCCGAAGCGGUUUUGUUGUUGUUUUGACAAUGUGUGGAGUCAAACGUCACAGUGUUGAGAAAAAGGAAUGCCAAAACUUGUUCAUUCCUGUUUGCUUCAAUACGUGCCACGUUUUCAGGAAAAAAAACUCAGAUUAUUUGAAGAAUAAUUAAACUGUUUUCCCCGCCGUGUUAACUAACCGAAGUGCUUCAGGUUCCGUUUUUUUCGAAGAAUCGACGAUCCAAGAACCAGAAACAGAGACGGAAACUGCACGGAAGUGGAAUGGCGAUGGACAGAGGCUCGAACAGUGAUCAAGCGUUUGCGAUCACACCCGAAAAACGAACUCAAUCACAAACGAUGUUCCCAUAGCGGAGGCAACUAGCAACAAAAUGCCGCUUCGCCGACCAAUGCCUCUACGACCGCUUGCUGGCUGCUACGGCUGGAGUUUUCUAUGGUGGUCUUAGCUCUUCCACAGCAUCAUCCGGUACGACCGUGCCGCGUCGUCUUGGUUCAAAGUGAGCCACCAACAUCUGCAUGUUGUGCAACCUGGCCAAAGAGGACCACGUCCGCCAGUUUGUGGUUAAGCGCCUGCUGCCGGAGAAGAACAUCAAGAAGACCUUGUCCAAGGCGCCCAAGAUCGGAGGAGGACAAGGCCGUAUUCAAGGAUGCCAAGAAGGUCGCAUAGGAGGCCAAGAAAGUGACCGAAGCCACCAAGAAGCGCGACGAGGCCAAGACUGCCAAGAAGUCCGACGACAAAAAGACCGACGCUGCCAAGCCCAAGACCGAUGCCGGCAAGAACCCCUUCGUUUGACCAUAGUCACCGGGAGGAGGAGGAACCGCACAGCGCCAGUAUAGCGAAUAAUUCUGUGGACAAAAAGGAAGCUGCGGCGUUCAUCUCUCAGAAUCGGUGGAAACCAGUUCCAACACUUUGGAAUCAUGGAAGGACGAUUCGCCGGCGACUGUCACGUACCACCGCCAGCAAGUGACAUCACGCAGGAUACGAUCUCCAAGGAUAUGCUGUAAAAGUUAUGCCGUUUGGACUUUUUUUCGUUCGGGCUGCCGUGGACAAGACCAGCCGCCGUUUCACACUUGUGAGCAACGGACAGUACAGAGACGAUAUCCAGCCAAUCAAAGGCGCCGCUGUCCACGGUAAAACCCACUGUCAGAGAGGCCAGGGCAACGCUCCCGAUAGAACACGUCGUACACGCGCACACCGGAGGCGUAACACGAAACCACCAAUGAUGUGGUUGUACGUGGUCCGGAUCAGCAAGACAACCUUCGUUAGCUACGCCACGUCAACGAUCCGUUUCAGACACCGUCGGUAAGCAGCAAGCGGGACGGCGUGGACCAGAUCGGACGAACGGCGGAACUUCAACGUGGCCAACAGAUUUCGUCGGUUCGGUUCCUCCGAGGUGCGGUCUCGACACAAUUGAAUGUAAUAUAAACUGUAUUGUGAAAGUUAAAACAAAAUAUUAUUAAAAACCUGGGGAUUUGCGGUGGGGAGUGUUUUAUUUAUGAUAAUUUUUUGAAUGUUAAUAAAAUUUCUUGAAAAAAGCAAAAAAGUUCAAUUAGUUGUUUAAUUCUAGUCUCACUAAACUAAAAAUAAAAACUAGACAAAAAAAAAUAAGAAGAAGAAGCAGCUGUCAAAACCAACCCGUCAUUCCGUUUCGAUUCCGUUUGAAUUCCGCUUGAACCGAUUUGCGGCGAAAACUCAAACGGAACCGGUUGUUGCGUUUGAAACGGAAUUCGUUUUAGAAUCUAAAACGAACACUGUUUAGAAUUCGAAUCGAACUUUUUUCGCUCAAGCGGAAUUCUAAACGGAAUUCAAACGGAACGCGCUGAGUGGGCAAGAGAGUAAGCUACACACAAAGAAAAAAUACUCUAAAUUUAAAAAGAUCGUUCGUUGGAUUAAAAGUUCGCGUUGGUGAAUAUUCGUAGAAAGUUCAAACUUUUCAAUUUAAAAGUUGGAAAGUUUUUGAUACUACCAUGCAUUUCUGGAACAAAAUCGUUGUAUCGGU